Molecule: ribosomal RNA, 801 nt
Filed under: uncultured archaeon
Lineage: Archaea
Description: bacterial SSU rRNA
Rfam family: Archaeal small subunit ribosomal RNA
Source: RNAcentral
UAAAUCCACCGAAUUAAUCGUUGGAUUGCGGGGGAUACUGCUUGGCUAGGGGACGAGAGAGGCAGACGGUAUUUCCGGGGUAGGGGUGAAAUCCUAUAAUCCCGGGAAGACCACCAGUGGCGAAGGCUGUCUGCUAGAACGCGCCCGACGGUGAGGGAUGAAAGCUGGGGGAGCGAACCGGAUUAGAUACCCGGGUAGUCCCAGCUGUAAACGAUGCAGGCUAGGUGUUUGGACGGCCACGUGCCGUUCUAGUGCCGCAGGGAAGCUGUUAAGCCUGCCGCCUGGGGAGUACGAUCGCAAGAUUGAAACUUAAAGGAAUUGGCGGGGGAGCACCACAAGGGGUGAAGCUUGCGGUUUAAUUGGAGUCAACGCCGGAAAUCUCACCGGGAGCGACAGCAGUGUGAAGGCCAGAUUAAAGGUCUUGCCAGACGAGCUGAGAGGAGGUGCAUGGCCGUCGCCAGUUCGUGCCGUGAGGUGUCCUGUUAAGUCAGGCAACGAUCGAGACCCGCAUCCUCUGUUGCAACUAGCCUUGUGCUGGGCACACUGAGGAGACCGCCACUGAUAAAGUGGAGGAAGGAGCGGGCCACGGCAGGUCAGUAUGCCCCGAAUCUCCCGGGCCACACGCGAGCUGCAAUGGCAGGUACAAUGGGUUCCGACCUCGAAAGGGGAAGGCAAUCUCGAAAGCCUGCCGUAGUUGGGAUUGAGGGUUGUAACCCACCCUCAUGAACAUGGAAUCCCUAGUAAUCGCGUGUCACUAGCGCGCGGUGAAUACGUCCCUGCUCCUUGCACACACCCCCCGUA